This 513-nucleotide ribosomal RNA is filed under the name uncultured bacterium. Its description in RNAcentral is "bacterial SSU rRNA". It matches the Rfam family "Bacterial small subunit ribosomal RNA", at positions 88 to 637 of the family's 1533-position model. The record is from RNAcentral.
ACACUUAGUGGCGGACGGGUGAGUAACGCGUGGGUACCUGCCUCACACUGGGGGAUAACAGUUAGAAAUAGCUGCUAAUACCGCAUAAGUCCGCAUGGAAAAAACUCCGGUGGUGUGAGAUGGACCCGCGUCUGAUUAGCCAGUUGGCGGGGUAACGGCCCACCAAAGCGACGAUCAGUAGCCGGCCUGAGAGGGUGAACGGCCACAUUGGGACUGAGACACGGCCCAAACUCCUACGGGAGGCAGCAGUGGGGAAUAUUGCACAAUGGGGGAAACCCUGAUGCAGCGACGCCGCGUGAGUGAAGAAGUAUUUCGGUAUGUAAAGCUCUAUCAGCAGGGAAGAAAUGACGGUACCUGACUAAGAAGCACCGGCUAAAUACGUGCCAGCAGCCGCGGUAAUACGUAUGGUGCAAGCGUUAUCCGGAUUUACUGGUUGUAAAGGGAGCGUAGACGGAUGGGCAAGUCUGAUGUGAAAACCCGGGGCUUCACCCCGGGACUGCAUUGGAAACUGUU